UUUUUUCUUAAUCUGGAAUAUUUAUAUUUGCACAAGUUUCAUGACCAUCUAUGCAGGUUUCAAAGUUAAGGAAGCUACCAUUUAAGUUAUAGACAGGACAGGAGUUUUGAGUAAACAAAAGGCAGGAUGAUCAACUUGGCAAAAAAAGGCAGGAUGUAAAUUUAUGUAAAAAAAACAACAAAAAAGCCCGGAUAUUCUUAUAAAAAA
RNAcentral lists this long non-coding RNA (207 nucleotides) under Mytilus galloprovincialis (Mediterranean mussel). Lineage: Eukaryota; Metazoa; Mollusca; Bivalvia; Mytilida; Mytilidae. The record is from RNAcentral.